This 30-nucleotide non-coding RNA is filed under the name Rattus norvegicus (Norway rat). Lineage: Eukaryota; Metazoa; Chordata; Mammalia; Rodentia; Muridae. The record is from RNAcentral.
UNCAGAUAAUGGUGCCCUUACUUCUAAUGA